GAUGGUGCAAUUUAAGAUUUUUUAUAUGUGACCUAAAAAUGUAAAUUAGAUUUGAGUUAGAUGAACUCAGACUAUUUUGAUUAAGUACACACUUGCUACGGCAACUCUGCUACGGACAAACUGUAUUAUUGACGCUUUUUUUUCACUCACCCCUUUCCUAACCUUAACCCCAGUCUCCUAACCUGCUAUGAAAGUCACUUCUAGUAGCUGUAUCGAAGUGGCAUGAAGUGUGUUUCUCGCUUCUCUUCGUCCUGGCAAUUGAAACAGAAGUUUACUCUGUAUUUUUUUAAUGUAACCUUUAUUUAACUAGGCAAGUCGGUUAAGAACAAACCGUUAUUUACAAUGGCUAAGUGGUAUUUUGCAUUGGUUACCCAUUGAAGUUGUAAUAUUUAAUGCAUGCAAUGGAAAGGGCUGUACAUAUCGUCAACAACAUCAGGAUAUCUGACAUUGUUUAAACUCUUGUAGAACAAAUUUAUGAGACGUUAUACGUGCCGUAUCGUCAAUUGGACUAGGAAACCGAAUGUCAAUUGGACAUUCGGUUUCCUAGUUUCCCAGGCCCAGAACAGAAGUUAUUUCGACGACAAACAGCCACCUCAAUCUGCAAAAUGUAAACCUAUCAAUGGCAUGAAGGCUACUCUUGAGAAAAAUUAUAACCGGAUGACCCACAUUGAAAAGUAAAAUGAGGAUCAUGGCGAAACACUAAUACAACAAGACCAGGCUAUUAACUACUUAAUGGGCCAGGUAGAGGAAUUGCAAAAGAAGGGAGAAUUGUUGGAAAACCUUUUGCGUCAUAAUAAUAUAUUCACAUUUUGGGGGUCUCAACCAAUGCAGAAAGAGGGCAGAAAAUGUCUACAUUUGUGGACCAGAUGUUGAGGGAGUUCUUGGAAAUCGAUGCUGCUACACCUUUGGUCAUGGAGACAGCCCACAGACGGGCAAAAAACAUAUGCCGACUAACACCGUACCCAAACCGGCUGGGCGCCUAUGUGUGCAAAUUGAUUUUGUUCCCCCACACCAAACGCGAUCACGACACGCUGGUUGAAAUAUCAAAACAAACUUUGAACCAAUUAUAUUAAUUUGGGGACAGGUCGAAAAGCAUUAAACACUUAUGGCAAUUUAGCUAGCUAGCUAAUUUCUCCUAUAUAGCUAGCUUGCUGUUGCUAGCUAAUUUGUCCUGGGAUAUAACAUUGAGUUGUUAUUUUACAUGAAAUGCACAAGGUCCUUUACUCUGACAAUUAAUCCACACAAAUGGUCAACCGAAUAAUUUCUAGUCAUCUCUCCUCCUUCCAGGCUUUUUCUUCUUUGGACUAUAUGGCAUCUAACUUUCAUUGUUACCACGAUGACGGAUCGAACUCAGUUCAUCUUUCAAUCACCCAUGUGGGUAUAACCAAUGAGGAGAUGGGAGAGGCAGGACUUGCACAACGUUCAGCGUCACAAAUAGAACUGACUUCUAUUUUAGGGCUUGGCAACGCAUACACUUGUUGGUGCAAUAAUUAAAUAACAUGUUUCAAUUUAUUUUGCAGCUCACUCGACGCAAGCAGUAUGGUAAACAUGUAAGUGGCAAAUUGUUGGGCCCAGGAGUGAGAGCGAAGGAAUCAAGGCCCAAGAAGUAACAGUAGCCUAAAUCUACUGCGAAACAUUGUCCAAUCCACAUUGACUACUGAAGCAACCCCUUCUUAAGAACUUGAAACUACCUGGAUUUAUGGUCAUUAUUGGGGCCCAUUUGCACGUGAGCUAGCUAAUUGCUCACAAUGAGGGAAUCUUAUUUGGACAAAUUUACCUACUUGAGCAGUAAGCCUAGGUUUACAUGUACAGUUAUGUACACAGCCUACACAUAGUAUAUACAAUAAUGAAAUCACCUGGUCCAAACAUCCAUGGCAAGUCAAGAAAAGCCAUUGUAACUUGUCCACACUGCAAACGGUAAUUUAAAAACUUCCAAACACAUUUAUGAAGAAAGCAUACACAUUGUUUUGAAACCGUGUCGAAGGAAAGAUUUUUGGUAUGCGAGUGCAUUGAUGUGAGAAAUGGUGUGUUUGCAGUCAAAUACAUUUUCUGGUCGAGCAACACCCAUACAUGUUGUGAAAGAAACUUUGGCUAAUUCAGUUCCAACUGUGUUCAAAACUGUUAUGCAUGCUGAGGUAUAAAAAGCUGUUAAUGUACUUUUUCUUUACUUUCACAUACACUGUGUUCAGAAACAUUGCUCAGAUCUUGUCCCCUGGACCUUGGAGGACUUUGUGUGGAUGAUCAGGGCCUACCAAAGCAAGGUUUCUCAAACAACUGUGGGGUGUUUGUUUUGAUGGAAAACAUGCAGCAAAUUAGGCGACGGUGGUGCCUAGUUUUCCUGCAGAACUUUCCCAUGCCGUCUGAAGAAGAGCGGUUGAAAGAUCGAAAAAGGCGGUGAAAUCAAAAUGCACUACAGGAUGAUGUAGAUGUCCCCCCAAGAAGUCACAACAGCAUCCAACUCUGCAGGACCAGGUACUGUAUAGGCUAUUAGCUAAAGUAAGGUGCAUUCCUGUACACACAUCCCUAGAGGUUCCCUUACAUUACUUAAUGACCACAAUCUGUUUUCUUUCGAGACGAUACUGAAAAUAAAAAGCGCUGUGAACUGGGUAAGUAGUCUGUAUGUAAUACAGAAGGCUUGUAGCAUGGUGAACUGGGAGCUGUGAACUGGGUAAGUAGUCUGUGUGUAAUACUGAAGGCUUGUAGCAUGGUGAACUGGGAGCUGUGAACUGGGUAAGUAGUCUGUGUGUAAUACUGAAGGCUUGUAGCAUGGUGAACUGUGAACUGGGUAAUAAGUCUGUGUGUAAUACUGAAUACUUGAUGCAUGGCAAGAUUUAAUAGUUGCGAUGACUUGUUGAGUAGUUAUAGAUAUCACUGAAAACCCCUUUGGUAAUAAUAGUGGCUUUGUUUGCAUGGUGGUAUUGUGAAAGUGGGGUGUAAUAUGUCUUGAUCACCCAAUGAGGCACUACUCUUAAUAUUUAUUCUUCCUUUUUCUUCAAGGAAGCAGAUGUUCUUCUAAGGGACACUUUAGAGGCAGCAAGGUGGUGCGAACAACAAACAUUUAAAGGCAGUUUCCCUCAGUGUAAUUGGGAUGGACGUGGAAGACCUCAUUAUAACCCUUAAAGAACUACGGUUGUAUGAUGGCCUGGAUGAACAUAUUCUCCAAGGAACCAUUCAUGUUACAGAAAGAUUGAGAUGUUCUAUGUGGAGGCAGUUGACAAGAACAUGACUCUUUUCCUCUUCUGAGGAGCAGGAGUAAAGACAUUUUUGAGUAGUGGCCAAACCUUGUUUUGUCUGCUGUGUAAAUUGUGUUAUGUUGUUUAGUAAAGAUGUAGAAGUCACCCGAGUCUCUGAUCUCUUUACUGGAGCUGGUUAAACUUAGUGUACAAAGCACAUUCAGCUUGUCAGUAUGUCUAUAUGGUAUAGUCUGUCUCCAUUCUCAUGAGGAAAGUAAAUAGCAUUAUAAAUCAGGAUAGGUAGUAACUGUAUAUGCUCAAUGGAAUAUAAUUCCAAGUUAAAAUUGUUGAUAAAUGUUAACAGUACAUGACAUACUUAAGUCUGUUCACAACAUCAUCAGUAGCUUGUCUCAUAGCAUGAAGCAAAACGUGUUAACACAUCUGCUGGUACCACUUUAUAAUACUUCUUACGAUCUUCAAAUAUUAAAUAAGCUUGAAUUCAAUGUGUGACUUGUGCAAACGUGUGCGACUGUCAUAUCAGAUGGACAAAAAGGUGGGAGGGGUCAAACAUUUGACUCAGUCCACAUUGCAGCCAGGGAUACUUGCAUAUUUUGGUGUGAAGUUCUCCAUGUGUUAUUCAACCAGACCCAUGCCAUCUCCUUCUAGGUAUUCUUCCUGUAGAUACACUCCAUUUAAAUUGAUAGAUUAUUUAAGCAGCAGCAAUGAAAUGUGUAACAAAAUGCUGGAAAAAUUAACAUGCACCCUCAAAAGACGUGGUUAGGUCUAUGCGGGGAACUUGCUGACAUGGUGAGAAUUACAUCAAUCACACACCAUCCAGAAGGCAAGGUCAGUACAGGUGCAUCAAAGCUGGGAAAGAGAGAUUGUCUUGAGAAACCUCUUUUUCAAUCACUGUUAAACAGCCAUCACUAACACAGGGGCUGCUGCCUACAUACAUGAC
This is a long non-coding RNA of Oncorhynchus keta (chum salmon), 4131 nucleotides long. RefSeq lists it as uncharacterized. Lineage: Eukaryota; Metazoa; Chordata; Actinopteri; Salmoniformes; Salmonidae. The transcript is spliced from 5 exons. The record is from RefSeq and is a predicted model, not a curated record.